This 234-nucleotide ribosomal RNA is filed under the name uncultured Glomus. RNAcentral's name for it is "partial small subunit ribosomal RNA". It matches the Rfam family "Eukaryotic small subunit ribosomal RNA", at positions 548 to 785 of the family's 1831-position model. Lineage: Eukaryota; Fungi; Glomeromycota; Glomeromycetes; Glomerales; Glomeraceae. The record is from RNAcentral.
UUGGAGGGCAAGUCUGGUGCCAGCAGCCGCGGUAAUCCCAGCUCCAAUAGCGUAUAUUAAAGUUGUUGCAGUUAAAAAGCUCGUAGUUGAACUUCAGGCCUGGCUGGGCGGUCCGCCUCACGGCGUGUACUGUCUGGCUGGGUCUUACCUCUUGGUGAGCCAGCGUGGCCUUUAUUGGUUGCGUCGAGGAACCAGGACUUUUACCUUGAGAAAAUUAGAGUGUUUAAAGCAGGC